CACAUGCACUUUUUUCUACACUUUGACACUCUUAAUGCUAAUGCAUCAGAAGCUGCAGUGUUUGCUUUCUCAAUGAAGCCAUGCUAUAUCAGAAAAAUCCAUGUAUGCUAGAUAUCAUUUCCUUGAUGGUUGAAUGACUGCAGCACCAGAUUUCCCUCUGGUAAUGUUUGUAGAAGUCUCUAGGGCAGCACAGGGUAGGGUGCUACAACCUCAGAGGCCAUGCCUUCGGCACACAGCAGUGUGAAGCUUAGAUGCACAGCAAGAAAUAGGGUUGUUCUGAAUUAAAUUUACAGCAUCCAACAUGCAUCUGGCCAAGAGUAGACGACAAAACACCCCUUGGUAUUGCUUUGUUAUGGCAAAUUGGUGGGUGUUAGAAACAUUUAGUGGUGGGAUGUAUGGUAUGUUCUGGACACCAUCUAUUCUGGUUUGCAGGCAUGGAAUUGCAGAAGAGCCUACAUCACUGCAAUGCUUGACCCACAUCACUUGCCUUGUUCUGCCUACCUCGUGAACAUAAGGAAUGAAGUACGAUGAAUGCUGCCCAACAACUCCAGAAAACAGGAAAUGGAUGAACCAAAUAUAGUGCUCGGGUUGCAAUGUCAGGCAGCCAGGUGACAGGUAUUGGAGUUCGCCGGAAUGCAGUUGUCGGGGACCUUGGAUCAAACUCUACAUCAGCUGCUUCUGCUGAG
RNAcentral lists this long non-coding RNA (686 nucleotides) under Dermacentor andersoni. RNAcentral describes it as "uncharacterized LOC126520881". Lineage: Eukaryota; Metazoa; Arthropoda; Arachnida; Ixodida; Ixodidae. The record is from RNAcentral.